RNAcentral lists this ribosomal RNA (375 nucleotides) under uncultured bacterium. RNAcentral's name for it is "bacterial SSU rRNA". It matches the Rfam family "Bacterial small subunit ribosomal RNA", at positions 521 to 896 of the family's 1533-position model. The record is from RNAcentral.
UAAUACAGAGGGUGCGAGCGUUAAUCGGAUUUACUGGGCGUAAAGGGCGCGUAGGCGGUUAUAUUAGUGUGAUGUGAAAGCCCUGGGCUUAACCUAGGAAGCGCAUCGCAAACGGUAUAGCUAGAGUAUAUGAGAGGGUGGUGGAAUUUCCGGUGUAGCGGUGAAAUGCGUAGAGAUCGGAAGGAACGUCAAUGGCGAAGGCAGCCACCUGGCAUAAUACUGACGCUGAGGCGCGAAAGCGUGGGGAGCGAACAGGAUUAGAUACCCUGGUAGUCCACGCUGUAAACGAUGAGGACUAAAUGUUGGUAGGGGAACCUAUCAGUAUUGAAGCAAACGCGAUAAGUCUUCCGCCUGGGAAGUACGGCCGCAAGGUUG